RNAcentral lists this long non-coding RNA (557 nucleotides) under Olea europaea (common olive). RNAcentral's name for it is "long non-coding RNA (OEUR_LNC003559)". Lineage: Eukaryota; Viridiplantae; Streptophyta; Magnoliopsida; Lamiales; Oleaceae. The record is from RNAcentral.
GGAUUUCCAUGGGCUCGUUGCAUCACUCUCCAUUUUCUCCUCCAUCCAUGCCCGAGGUAGAAUUCCUUCAAUAUGUAGAGAUGUGAUUAAACCCGUGAGUUGAAAAACUCAAUAGGUGUCAUAGGUGCAUUCGUGAUCAAACUAUAUAUUUCAAAACAUUAACUUUAUAACUUUUCAUAUAUGCCGUACCCGGAGGCACCAUUUGACACGAAGGGGUAUGCCCUACCCGAGGGCACCAUUUGACAUACGAACAUUUCUUCAACAUAGAGGGGUAUGCCGUACCGGAGUACCAUUUGACAUACAACCAUUAACAUAGAGGGAUAUGCCGUACCGGAGUACCAUUUGACAUACAAACAUUAACAUGAAUCGAAACUUAUAACUUAACACGAUUAAACACAUUGCACCUCUACCUACCUUGAUUGAUGCUUUUGAAACUUUGAAAACUUCGAUUGAAAACUUCGAUGAAACUUGGACGUUGAAAGAAAUGCACUCCUUGAAUGUUUGAAAACCGUUGAGAAUUGAUGCUUGAAGACACUCCUUGAUAGCACCCAAAACUU